GUGCUUACUUUGGCAACACAUAUACUAAAAUUGGAAUGAUACGGAGAUUAGCAUUGUCCCUGGUCAAGGAUGAACCACAAAUUCAUGAAGCAUUAUAUAUAUAU
Molecule: small nuclear RNA, 104 nt
Organism: Colobus angolensis palliatus
Lineage: Eukaryota; Metazoa; Chordata; Mammalia; Primates; Cercopithecidae
Source: Ensembl